GCGGAACACGUACACAACCUUCCUUUAAGCGGGGAAUAGCCCGGGGAAACCCGGAUUAAUACCCCAUAGUACGUCGAGAGGGCAUCCUCUUGAUUUUAAAGAUUUAUCACUUAAAGAUGGGUGUGCGGCUGAUUAGGUAGUUGGCGGGGUAACGGCCCACCAAGCCUACGAUCAGUAACUGGUGUGAGAGCACGACCAGUCACACGGGCACUGAGACACGGGCCCGACUCCUACGGGAGGCAGCAGUAAGGAAUAUUGGUCAAUGGACGAAAGUCUGAACCAGCCAUGCCGCGUGGAGGAUGAAGGUCCUCUGGAUUGUAAACUCCUUUUAUAUGGGACGAAAAAGGGUCUUUCUAGACCAACUGACGGUACCAUGUGAAUAAGCACCGGCUAACUCCGUGCCAGCAGCCGCGGUAAUACGGAGGGUGCAAGCGUUAUCCGGAUUCACUGGGUUUAAAGGGUGCGUAGGUGGGUUGGUAAGUCA
RNAcentral lists this ribosomal RNA (484 nucleotides) under uncultured Chitinophaga sp. RNAcentral describes it as "bacterial SSU rRNA". It matches the Rfam family "Bacterial small subunit ribosomal RNA", at positions 108 to 590 of the family's 1533-position model. Lineage: Bacteria; Pseudomonadati; Bacteroidota; Chitinophagia; Chitinophagales; Chitinophagaceae. The record is from RNAcentral.